AUCCAACUGACGGGUCCUAAAUAGGACGAAACGCGCGUCCUGGAU
This is a non-coding RNA of Schistosoma curassoni, 45 nucleotides long. The record is from Rfam. NCBI's taxonomy places the organism in Eukaryota, Metazoa, Platyhelminthes, Trematoda, Strigeidida, Schistosomatidae.